GUGGGGAAUAUUGGACAAUGGGGGAAACCCUGAUCCAGCCAUGCCGCGUGUGUGAAGAAGGCCUUUUGGUUGUAAAGCACUUUAAGCAGUGAAGAAGACUCCAUGGUUAAUACCCAUGGACGAUGACAUUAGCUGCAGAAUAAGCACCGGCUAACUCUGUGCCAGCAGCCGCGGUAAUACAGAGGGUGCAAGCGUUAAUCGGAAUUACUGGGCGUAAAGGGAGCGUAGGUGGCUCUAUAAGUCAGAUGUGAAAUCCCCGGGCUUAACCUGGGAACUGCAUCUGAAACUGUAGAGCUAGAGUAUGUGAGAGGAAGGUAGAAUUCCAGGUGUAGCGGUGAAAUGCGUAGAGAUCUGGAGGAAUACCGAUGGCGAAGGCAGCCUUCUGGCAUAAUACUGACACUGAGGCUCGAAAGCGUGGGUAGCAAACAGGAUUAGAAACCCUAGUAGUCC
RNAcentral lists this ribosomal RNA (450 nucleotides) under uncultured bacterium. RNAcentral describes it as "bacterial SSU rRNA". It matches the Rfam family "Bacterial small subunit ribosomal RNA", at positions 354 to 796 of the family's 1533-position model. The record is from RNAcentral.